AUGGCGCCACAUCAGCAUACAAUACAUGUGUGGGGCCCGCAUGUCAGUACAUCAAAGAGGGAGGAACGUGCAGAAAUUUUGAGGAGGAAUUCAAACCCGGCACCAAAGGCAUACCUGACAGCCAAGCUAACCUUCACACUAGACCACGCAUCAUGUCUAGCUAAUAAACAAGUUCCUGGCAUCACAUAUAUGGGAGUAGCAGGAGACAUAGUCAGGACCGUAUUGGAGCGUAUUCUCAUGCUUGAGGACCGUAGUGGAGCACUCCGCGAGUUCGAGGACCAUGGUGUUACAUGCCGGAGAGUACAUGGACUAUAG
RNAcentral lists this ribosomal RNA (315 nucleotides) under Triticum aestivum (bread wheat). Its description in RNAcentral is "partial small subunit ribosomal RNA". Lineage: Eukaryota; Viridiplantae; Streptophyta; Magnoliopsida; Poales; Poaceae. The record is from RNAcentral.